RNAcentral lists this long non-coding RNA (861 nucleotides) under Homo sapiens (human). RNAcentral's name for it is "HSALNT0315257". Lineage: Eukaryota; Metazoa; Chordata; Mammalia; Primates; Hominidae. The record is from RNAcentral.
AAGCCUUUGCACAGUCUUAGCUGUUAUGUUGUAUUAUAUUGCCUCCUAGGUUAUGUAUGUAGAAUUUUUGGUCACAUUUAAAUAUUCCCCUUCGAUUCAUAGUGUUAAGAAAUAUACUUAAGCAGCUACGUAUUUACUAGGGAUGAAAAUGUUUCCAAUUCAUAAGCCAGAACACUUUUUUCUUCAGAUAUUUAACACAAAGAAGGGAUGAAGACCAUUUUUUAUUCCCAUCUCCCAUGGUUUCAUAUUUUUAUAAACAUUUCUAGAAUGCUACACAAUAGCAGAUAAUAUUCUGCAACUUUAAUUGAAGGUCAAACAUUUCUUAUAUAUUCUGAUGGUGAGAUGAUAGUGCCUGCGCUAAAACAAUCAGAUGACUCCACUGAGGGAAAGAGCAUUGCAUUAGCAACUCUGGGAGAAAUGUGUUAGUGAAUUAUUUCAUGAAUGCAGUGAGAAUAAAAUGAUUGUCUUAGAGGCCAUAAAUAAAUCCAUUUAAGUUAAAACCCAAGUCUAGGAAUUGAUAUCCACUUUGGCCAAAUUUAACUUUGGGUAAUCUAGCUUAAAAAAAAAAAAUCCAACUUUUCCCUAUAGUAUUUUAAAUAGUCAUUCUAUAUAUUACUCUUUAUUGGGUCUAACUUGGUUGAUAUUAUCUAUGCAGAUAAACUACAACUGUACCCAAAGCCUUUCUGAAUGAAGAUUUAUCAUCCUGAGGAGAAAAACCAAAGGCCACUAGGAAAUGAGGGUGUACAACACCCUUCCAGAGCCAACUUCAACAAACUCAAAUUUAUGUACAUCCUAAUCUAAAAUUUUUCUUUUCCUACAUAUAAAGGAAAUUAAAUAAAAAACCUGUCCGUUUCAGUUACA